Molecule: ribosomal RNA, 252 nt
Filed under: uncultured Bacteroidales bacterium
Lineage: Bacteria; Pseudomonadati; Bacteroidota; Bacteroidia; Bacteroidales
Description: partial 16S ribosomal RNA
Rfam family: Bacterial small subunit ribosomal RNA
Source: RNAcentral
UAAGGAGGAUGCGAGCGUUAUCCGGAUUUAUUGGGAUUAAAGGGUGCGUAGGCGGCGAGUUAAGUCAGCGGUAAAAGCCCGGGGCUCAACCCCGGCCCGCCGUUGAAACUGGCUGGCUUGAGUUGGAGAGAAGUAUGCGGAAUGCGCGGUGUAGCGGUGAAAUGCAUAGAUAUCGCGCAGAACUCCGAUUGCGAAGGCAGCAUGCCGGCUCCACACUGACGCUGAGGCACGAAAGCGUGGGUAUCGAACAGG